Molecule: ribosomal RNA, 429 nt
Filed under: Pseudomonadota bacterium
Lineage: Bacteria; Pseudomonadati; Pseudomonadota
Description: Proteobacteria bacterium partial 16S ribosomal RNA
Rfam family: Bacterial small subunit ribosomal RNA
Source: RNAcentral
UGGGGAAUAUUGGACAAUGGGCGAAAGCCUGAUCCAGCCAUGCCGCGUGUGUGAAGAAGGUCUUCGGAUUGUAAAGCACUUUAAGUUGGGAGGAAGGGCAGUAAGCGAAUACCUUGCUGUUUUGACGUUACCGACAGAAUAAGCACCGGCUAACUCUGUGCCAGCAGCCGCGGUAAUACAGAGGGUGCAAGCGUUAAUCGGAAUUACUGGGCGUAAAGCGCGCGUAGGUGGUUCGUUAAGUUGAAUGUGAAAGCCCCGGGCUCAACCUGGGAACUGCAUCCAAAACUGGCGAGCUAGAGUAGGGCAGAGGGUGGUGGAAUUUCCUGUGUAGCGGUGAGAUGCGUAGAUAUAGGAAGGAACACAAGUGGCGAAGGCGACCACCUGGGCUCAUACUGACACUGAGGUGCGAAAGCGUGGGGAGCAAACAGG